AAUCACACCAAACACACACUUAGGUGUGUGUCUGGUCGAUCUCAACAACAGGGCGACACAAGGGUUCCCUCACAAACCCUAGUUCAUGCUAAAUCUCACAAAUUGAAGGUCAAGAUCAAUUCCAAAUCAAAAUCCGAGCACGGAAUAGUGAUUUACAUUGAAAAGGAGUCAUAAGGCAAGGAAUCCGGAUCCUCAAGCGGACAAGCCGGUGGAGACACGCGUUGAAAGGAGCGCUCUAAAGGUGAUGCUCGUUUGUUGUGGAUGUUGAUCAAGCAAUGGAAUCAAGAACCGAACACAAGUUUUGAAUGCUUCCGCGCUAAUCUAAUCUAGUGUAAAACAUGUUGUUUUGUAAACACUUCUAAACGUUGAAUAUUUUAAUCUAGUUAGUUGACUAUGUUUAAAUGCUAUAAUGAAGUACAUCUUAGUUUAUUAACUAAGUUUUUGUUA
This is a long non-coding RNA of Helianthus annuus (common sunflower), 447 nucleotides long. RefSeq lists it as uncharacterized. The record is from RefSeq and is a predicted model, not a curated record. The transcript is spliced from 3 exons. NCBI's taxonomy places the organism in Eukaryota, Viridiplantae, Streptophyta, Magnoliopsida, Asterales, Asteraceae.